AGACCCGAAACCCGGUGAUCUAGCCAUGGGCAGGUUGAAGGUUGGGUAACACUAACUGGAGGACCGAACCGACUAAUGUUGAAAAAUUAGCGGAUGACCUGUGGCUGGGGGUGAAAGGCCAAUCAAACCGGGAGAUAGCUGGUUCUCCCCGAAAGCUAUUUAGGUAGCGCCUCGUGAAUUCAUCUCCGGGGGUAGAGCACUGUUUCGGCUAGGGGGCCAUCCCGGCUUACCAACCCGAUGCAAACUGCGAAUACCGGAGAAUGUUAUCACGGGAGACACACGGCGGGUGCUAACGUCCGUCGUGAAGAGGGAAACAACCCAGACCGCCAGCUAAGGUCCCAAAGUCAUGGUUAAGUGGGAAACGAUGUGGGAAGGCCCAGACAGCCAGGAUGUUGGCUUAGAAGCAGCCAUCAUUUAAAGAAAGCGUAAUAGCUCACUGGUCGAGUCGGCCUGCGCGGAAGAUGUAACGGGGCUAAACCAUGCACCGAAGCUGCGGCAGCGACACUGUGUGUUGUUGGGUAGGGGAGCGUUCUGUAAGCCUGUGAAGGUGGCCUGUGAGGGUUGCUGGAGGUAUCAGAAGUGCGAAUGCUGACAUAAGUAACGAUAAAGCGGGUGAAAAGCCCGCUCGCCGGAAGACCAAGGGUUCCUGUCCAACGUUAAUCGGGGCAGGGUGAGUCGACCCCUAAGGCGAGGCCGAAAGGCGUAGUCGAUGGGAAACGGGUUAAUAUUCCCGUACUUGGUGUUACUGCGAAGGGGGGACGGAGAAGGCUAUGUUGGCCGGGCGACGGUUGUCCCGGUU
Molecule: ribosomal RNA, 799 nt
Filed under: Salmonella enterica subsp. enterica serovar Leoben
Lineage: Bacteria; Pseudomonadati; Pseudomonadota; Gammaproteobacteria; Enterobacterales; Enterobacteriaceae
Description: partial 23S ribosomal RNA
Rfam family: Bacterial large subunit ribosomal RNA
Source: RNAcentral